GCUGGGCAUGGUGGCGCAUGCCUGUAGUCCCAGCUACUCAGGAGGCUGAGGCAGAAGGAUUGCUUGAGCCCAGGAGUGUGAGGUUGCUGUGAGCUAGGCUGAUGCCACGGCACUCACACUAGCCCAGGCAACAAAGCGAGACUCUGUCUCAAAGAAAAAACAAAACAUCAGCUGGGCAUGGUGGCGCAUGCCUGCAGUCCCAGCUACUCAGGAGGCUAAGGCAGGAGGAUCACUUCAGCCCAGGAGUUUGAGGUUGCUGUGAGCUAAGCUGACGCCACGGCACUCUAGCCAGGGCAACAGAGUGAGACUCUGUCUCA
This 317-nucleotide small RNA is filed under the name Microcebus murinus (gray mouse lemur). RNAcentral describes it as "Metazoan signal recognition particle RNA (ENSMICG00000034236.2)". The stretch from base 1 to 152 matches the Rfam family "Metazoan signal recognition particle RNA". Lineage: Eukaryota; Metazoa; Chordata; Mammalia; Primates; Cheirogaleidae. The record is from RNAcentral.